UGAGGAAUAUUGGGCAAUGCCCGCAAGGGUGACCCAGCAACGCCGCGUGGAGGAUGAAUGUCGUAAGAUUGUAAACUCCUGUUAGAGGGGAAGAAUAGUACCGGUUGGACCGGUAUAUGACUGUACCCUCAGAGAAAGCCCCGGCUAACUACGUGCCAGCAGCCGCGGUAAUACGUAGGGGGCAAGCGUUGUCCGGAUUUACUGGGUGUAAAGGGCGCGCAGGCGGGAUAAAAAGUCAGUGGUGAAAUCCUACAGCUUAACUGUAGAACUGCCUUUGAUACUUUUAUUCUUGAGUUCGGGAGAGAGAGACGGAAUUCCAGGUGUAGUGGUGAAAUACGUAGAUAUCUGGAAGAACACCAGUUGCGAAGGCGGUCUCUUGGUCCGACACUGACG
Molecule: ribosomal RNA, 393 nt
Filed under: uncultured bacterium
Lineage: Bacteria
Description: bacterial SSU rRNA
Rfam family: Bacterial small subunit ribosomal RNA
Source: RNAcentral